GCCUGGGUGGCUCAGCCAGUUGAGCGUCUGAUUUUGGCUCAGGUCAUGAUUCGUGGUUUGUGAGUUGGAAUCCCACAUCAGGCU
RNAcentral lists this transfer RNA (84 nucleotides) under Felis catus (domestic cat). It matches the Rfam family "tRNA". Rfam says of the family: Transfer RNA (tRNA) molecules are approximately 80 nucleotides in length. Their secondary structure includes four short double-helical elements and three loops (D, anti-codon, and T loops). Lineage: Eukaryota; Metazoa; Chordata; Mammalia; Carnivora; Felidae. The record is from Rfam by way of RNAcentral.